AGAGUUUGAUCAUGGCUCAGAUUGAACGCUGGCGGCAUGCCUUACACAUGCAAGUCGAACGGCAGCACGGGGGCAACCCUGGUGGCGAGUGGCGAACGGGUGAGUAAUGCAUCGGAACGUGUCCUAUCGUGGGGGAUAACCAGUCGAAAGACUGGCUAAUACCGCAUGCGAUCGAGAGAUGAAAGCGGGGGACCCGCAAGGGCCUCGCGCGACGGGAGCGGCCGAUGCCGGAUUAGCUAGUUGGUGGGGUAAUGGCCCACCAAGGCUACGAUCCGUAGCUGGUUUGAGAGAACGACCAGCCACACUGGGACUGAGACACGGCCCAGACUCCUACGGGAGGCAGCAGUGGGGAAUUUUGGACAAUGGGCGCAAGCCUGAUCCAGCCAUGCCGCGUGUGUGAAGAAGGCCUUCGGGUUGUAAAGCACUUUCGGACGGAACGAAAUCGCGCGGAUGAAUAAUCCGCGUGGCUGACGGUACCGUAAGAAGAAGC
Molecule: ribosomal RNA, 490 nt
Filed under: uncultured Derxia sp.
Lineage: Bacteria; Pseudomonadati; Pseudomonadota; Betaproteobacteria; Burkholderiales; Alcaligenaceae
Description: bacterial SSU rRNA
Rfam family: Bacterial small subunit ribosomal RNA
Source: RNAcentral